CUGCCCUAAAGUCUGGGAUACCACUUGGAAACAGGUGCUAAUACCGGAUAACAACAAUAGCUGCAUGGCUAUUGCUUAAAAGGCGGCGAAAGCUGUCGCUAAAGGAUGGACCCGCGGUGCAUUAGCUAGUUGGUAAGGUAAUGGCUUACCAAGGCGACGAUGCAUAGCCGAGUUGAGAGACUGAUCGGCCACAUUGGGACUGAGACACGGCCCAAACUCCUACGGGAGGCAGCAGUAGGGAAUCUUCCACAAUGGGCGAAAGCCUGAUGGAGCAACGCCGCGUGAGUGAAGAAGGUUUUCGGAUCGUAAAGCUCUGUUGUUGGUGAAGAAGGAUAGAGGUAGUAACUGGCCCCUAUUUGACGGUAAUCAACCAGAAAGUCACGGCUAACUACGUGCCAGCAGCCGCGGUAAUACGUAGGUGGCAAGCGUUGUCCGGAUUUAUUGGGCGUAAAGCGAGCGCAGGCGGAAAGAUAAGUCUGAUGUGAAAGCCCCCGGCUUAACCGAGGAAUUGCAUCGGAAACUGUGUUUCUUGAGUGCAGAAGAGGAGAGUGGAACUCCAUGUGUAGCGGUGGAAUGCGUAGAUAUAUGGAAGAACACCAGUGGCGAAGGCGGCUCUCUGGUCUGUAACUGACGCUGAGGCUCGAAAGCAUGGGUAGCGAACAGGAUUAGAUACCCUGGUAGUCCAUGCCGUAAACG
Molecule: ribosomal RNA, 696 nt
Filed under: uncultured bacterium
Lineage: Bacteria
Description: bacterial SSU rRNA
Rfam family: Bacterial small subunit ribosomal RNA
Source: RNAcentral